RNAcentral lists this ribosomal RNA (213 nucleotides) under Clostridioides difficile. Its description in RNAcentral is "partial 16S ribosomal RNA". It matches the Rfam family "Bacterial small subunit ribosomal RNA", at positions 840 to 1050 of the family's 1533-position model. Lineage: Bacteria; Bacillati; Bacillota; Clostridia; Peptostreptococcales; Peptostreptococcaceae. The record is from RNAcentral.
UCGGUGCCGCAGCUAACGCACUAAGUACUUUGCCUGGGAAGUACGCUCGCAAGUGUGAAACUCAUAGGACUUGACGGGGCCCCGCCCAAGUAGCGCAGCAUGUGGUUUAAUUUGAAGCAAUGAGAAGCACAUUACCCAAGCUUGACAUCCACAUGACAAAUCAUCAAACGGAGAGUUCCCUUCGCGGUCAUUGUUGACAGGUGGUGCAUGGUU